This 854-nucleotide long non-coding RNA is filed under the name Fragaria vesca (wild strawberry). Its description in RNAcentral is "long non-coding RNA (FVES_LNC003480)". The record is from RNAcentral. Lineage: Eukaryota; Viridiplantae; Streptophyta; Magnoliopsida; Rosales; Rosaceae.
GGGUAUUUACACGGGUGAGAAUGAGAUAAAUAAGUUUAGCGUUGAAAUUAAGAUGUAUGAUGAAAUGAGCAACUAGGAUGAAGAAAGAGGAUGGUAGCUAGGGUGACAUAACCACAAAAUUUGAUCAUUUUGUCUUUUUAAAAUGAUUGAUCUUUCUACUAUGUAAAAUAUGUUGCCUCUAACAUUUCGAAGAUAUUUUUUCCUUUUGUCCGACAGUGCGUCCAAACGGGACUUGAGGUGGCAAGAUGGUGGUUGCACUUCUUAGGCUGGUGGCGGUGGAGAGAGAGAGAGAGAGAGAGAGAGAGAGAGAGAGAGAGAGAGAGAGAGAGAGAGCGGAAAGUGAGGUUGUUUGGUGGUUUGAGAUGUAGUCCAUUUUUGCUCUAGCAUGGUUGCCUUGUUGUCGGACUAGAGCAGCUCGAGUCAUGUCAACGGCAAGGUGAAUUAGAGAGGUGGUGCGAUGUGAAGCGGUAUACGCCUGUCCGGAUCGAUUUCCCGAUCUAGGACGGGUCUUCCCUACCAUGUCCAGUUGUAGUUGUUGAACGGUGGUGCGCUACCUCCCCGUGGUGGACGCGGAUGGUGAUGCUAUUAAGAUGACGGCUGAUGAUAGUGGCAGGACGACGGGUGUGGAUUUCAAAUAUGAUGCAACUUCUUUGGGCAUGGUUUAUAGAUGGAUCGUUCUUGAGGUAUGCAGAGAUGUGCUAAUAUUGAGGAAACAAAACAUGCUAGCAGAAACCAGAACCAAAAUGCAUUUCAUCUCCAUUCUACUGUGUUACAAAACCAACAACGGUCAUCCGUGAGAAACUACAAAAUUGACCUAAUACCCACAGCUAAUAUUUAGACAGAAUCAACCAAAU